AACGUUAAAAAGUUGUUAAGUUGUUUAAAUAAGUUAAAAUAAAUAUGUCAAAACUAGUUAGACUUAGAAAGUGGUUAAGUUGUUUAAAUAAAUUCAAAUGUUAUUUAGUUGAUGGAAUUAAAAUUAUCAUUAUUGUUUGUGUAGAUGAAUCCUGAUCGUAGUUGGAUGUAUAAUAGAAACAAUCCUGGUCGAGCGGGUAUGAUUCCAGAAUUUGCAGAAGGUGUCACUAGAUUUAUAAAUCAUGCAAAGACACUUGAUGAUUUUCUAAUUUCAAGAUUGAUUAGGUGUCCGU
Molecule: long non-coding RNA, 292 nt
Filed under: Solanum tuberosum (potato)
Lineage: Eukaryota; Viridiplantae; Streptophyta; Magnoliopsida; Solanales; Solanaceae
Description: long non-coding RNA (STUB_LNC008436)
Source: RNAcentral